This 1528-nucleotide ribosomal RNA is filed under the name metagenome. RNAcentral describes it as "bacterial SSU rRNA". It matches the Rfam family "Bacterial small subunit ribosomal RNA". The record is from RNAcentral.
AGAGUUUGAUCCUGGCUCAGAGUGAACGCUGGCGGCGUGGAUUAGGCAUGCAAGUCGAACGAUCCUUGCUGAUUCAAUUAGGAAGCUUGCUUCUUGAGAGAAGAGGCGCUGGAUAGUGGCAAACGGGUGAGUAACACGUGAACAACUUUCCCUAAAGUCAAGCAUAGCAUCGUGAAAACGGUGGUAAUUCUUGAUGUUCUUCCGAGAUCGCAUGGUUUUGGGAGCAAAGUCGGGGACCUUCGGGCCUGACGCUUUAGGAUGGGUUCGCGGCCUAUCAGCUUGUUGGUGGGGUAAUGGCCUACCAAGGCAUAUGACGGGUAGCUGGUCUGAGAGGAUGGACAGCCACACUGGGACUGAGACACUGCCCAGACUCCUACGGGAGGCUGCAGUCGAGAAUCUUUAUCAAUGGACGAAAGUCUGAAUAUGCGACGCCGCGUGCAGGACGAAGGCUUUCGGGUCGUAAACUGCUUUUGUUAGGGAAGAACCCUGUAUGGUUAAUAUCCAUGCAGCUGACGGUACCUAACGAAUAAGCCACGGCCAACUCCGUGCCAGCAGCCGCGGUAAUACGGGGGUGGCAAGCGUUACUCGGAAUUAUUGGGUGUAAAGGGCAAGUAGGCGGUCUGUUAAGUGAGGGGUGAAAUUUACCGGCUCAAUCGGUAAACUGCCUUUCAAACUGGCAGACUUGAGUGUGAUAGGGGGAAGUGGAAUUGACAGUGUAAGGGUGAAAUCUGUAGAUAUUGUCAAGAACACCGGUGGCGAAGGCGACUUCCUGGAUCACAACUGACGCUGAACUGCGAAAGCUAGGGUAGCAAACGGAAUUAGAUACUCCGGUAGUCCUAGCCGUAAACGAUGAGCACUAGGUGUCGGACGUAAGUUCGGUGCCGCAGCUAACGCAUUAAGUGCUCCACCUGGGGACUACGGCCGCAAGGCUAAAACUCAAAGGAAUUGACGGGGACCCGCACAAGCGGUGGGACAUGUGGUUUAAUCCGAUGCUACGCGAAAAACCUCACCAAGGCUUGACAUGCUCGUCGUACCUUCCUGAAAGGGAGGGGUCAUUUAGUUGGACGAUGCACAGGUGCUGCAUGGCUGUCGUCAGCUCGUGUCGUGAGAUGUUGGGUUAAGUCUCGCAACGAGCGCAACCAUUGCCCAAUGUUGCCACCUUCGACUUCGGUCGGAGCGCACUCUUUGGGGACUGCCCGGGAUAACCGGGAGGAAGGUGGAGAUGACGUCAAGUCAGUACGGCCCUUAUGCCUUGGGCUACACACGUGUUACAAUGCACGGUACAAAGGGUUGCCAACCCGCGAGGGGGAGCUAAUCUCAAAAAGCCGUGCCCAGUUCGGAUUGGAGUCUGCAAUUCGACUCCAUGAAGCCGGAAUCGCUAGUAAUGGGAGAGCAGAUCGCUCCCGUGAAUACGUUCCCGGGUCUUGUACACACCGCCCGUCAAGCGAUGGGAGCCGGGGGCACCCGAAGUCCUAUGUAGGUAGGCCGAAGGUGAAACUGGCGACUGGCGCUAAGUCGAAACAAGGUA